RNAcentral lists this ribosomal RNA (388 nucleotides) under uncultured bacterium. Its description in RNAcentral is "bacterial SSU rRNA". It matches the Rfam family "Bacterial small subunit ribosomal RNA", at positions 29 to 417 of the family's 1533-position model. The record is from RNAcentral.
AUUGAACGCUGGCGGAAUGCUUUACACAUGCAAGUCGAGCGGCAGCACGGGGGCAACCCUGGUGGCGAGCGGCGAACGGGUGAGUAACACAUCGGAACGUACCCUGUCGUGGGGGGAUAACGAGUCGAAAGAUUCGCUAAUACCGCAUACGACCCGAGGGUGAAAGCGGGGGAUCGCAAGACCUCGCGCGACUGGAGCGGCCGAUGGCGGAUUAGCUAGUUGGUGGGGUAAAGGCCCACCAAGGCGACGAUCCGUAGCGGGUCUGAGAGGACGGCCCGCCACACUGGGACUGAGACACGGCCCAGACUCCUACGGGAGGCAGCAGUGGGGAAUUUUGGACAAUGGGGGCAACCCUGAUCCAGCCAUUCCGCGUGAGUGAAGAAGGCCU